RNAcentral lists this ribosomal RNA (484 nucleotides) under uncultured bacterium. RNAcentral's name for it is "partial 16S ribosomal RNA". It matches the Rfam family "Bacterial small subunit ribosomal RNA", at positions 30 to 507 of the family's 1533-position model. The record is from RNAcentral.
AUUGAACGCUGGCGGCAGGCCUAACACAUGCAAGUCGAGCGGAUGAAGGGAGCUUGCUCCUGGAUUCAGCGGCGGACGGGUGAGUAAUGCCUAGGAAUCUGCCUGGUAGUGGGGGAUAACGUCCGGAAACGGGCGCUAAUACCGCAUACGUCCUGAGGGAGAAAGUGGGGGAUCUUCGGACCUCACGCUAUCAGAUGAGCCUAGGUCGGAUUAGCUAGUUGGUGGGGUAAAGGCCUACCAAGGCGACGAUCCGUAACUGGUCUGAGAGGAUGAUCAGUCACACUGGAACUGAGACACGGUCCAGACUCCUACGGGAGGCAGCAGUGGGGAAUAUUGGGCAAUGGGCGAAAGCCUGAUCCAGCCAUGCCGCGUGUGUGAAGAAGGUCUUCGGAUUGUAAAGCACUUUAAGUUGGGAGGAAGGGAAGUAAGUUAAUACCUUGCUGUUUUGACGUUACCAACAGAAUAAGCACCGGCUAACUUCGUG